GGUGAGAUGGCCGAGCGGUCUAAGGCGCCAGACUAAGGAGACCAACGCAUUUGAUGCGCGCUAAAAUCUGGUCACAUUGUGGCGUGGGUUCGAAUCCCACUCUCAUCA
This 108-nucleotide transfer RNA is filed under the name Lentinula lateritia. Its description in RNAcentral is "tRNA-Leu". It matches the Rfam family "tRNA". Rfam says of the family: Transfer RNA (tRNA) molecules are approximately 80 nucleotides in length. Their secondary structure includes four short double-helical elements and three loops (D, anti-codon, and T loops). The record is from RNAcentral. Lineage: Eukaryota; Fungi; Basidiomycota; Agaricomycetes; Agaricales; Omphalotaceae.